GACGAACGCUGGCGGCGUGCUUAACACAUGCAAGUCGAACGGAAAGGCCAGUGCUUGCCCUGGUGCUCGAGUGGCGAACGGGUGAGUAACACGUGGGUGAUCUGCCUUGCACUCUGGGAUAAGCUUGGGAAACUGGGUCUAAUACCGGAUAGGAACCGUCUUUAGUGUGGUGGUUGGAAAGUUUUUUCGGUGCAAGAUGAGCUCGCGGCCUAUCAGCUUGUUGGUGGGGUAUUGGCCUACCAAGGCGUCGACGGGUAGCCGGCCUGAGAGGGUGUACGGCCACAUUGGGACUGAGAUACGGCCCAGACUCCUACGGGAGGCAGCAGUGGGGAAUAUUGCACAAUGGGCGGAAGCCUGAUGCAGCGACGCCGCGUGGGGGAUGACGGCCUUCGGGUUGUAAACUCCUUUCGACAGGGACGAAGCGUUAUGUGACGGUACCUGUAGAAGAAGCACCGGCUAACUACGUG
RNAcentral lists this ribosomal RNA (467 nucleotides) under uncultured bacterium. RNAcentral describes it as "partial 16S ribosomal RNA". It matches the Rfam family "Bacterial small subunit ribosomal RNA", at positions 28 to 507 of the family's 1533-position model. The record is from RNAcentral.